ACGGGAGGCAGCAGUGAGGAAUAUUGCACAGUGGGGGAAACCCUGAUGCAGCGACGCCGCGUGAGUGAAGAAGUAUUUCGGUAUGUAAAGCUCUAUCAGCAGGGAAGAAAAUGACGGUACCUGAAUAAGAAGCCCCGGCUAACUACGUGCCAGCAGCCGCGGUAAUACGUAGGGGGCAAGCGUUAUCCGGAUUUACUGGGUGUAAAGGGAGCGUAGACGGCAUGGCAAGUCUGAAGUGAAAGCUCGGGGCUCAACCCCGGAACUGCUUUGGAAACUGUCAAGCUGGAGUACCGGAGAGGUAAGCGGAAUUCCUAGUGUAGCGGUGAAAUGCGUAGAUAUUAGGAGGAACACCAGUGGCGAAGGCGGCUUACUGGACGGUAACUGACGCUGAGGCGCGAAAGCGUGGGGAGCAAACAGGAUUAGAUACCCUGGUA
RNAcentral lists this ribosomal RNA (434 nucleotides) under uncultured Clostridium sp. RNAcentral's name for it is "partial 16S ribosomal RNA". It matches the Rfam family "Bacterial small subunit ribosomal RNA", at positions 341 to 792 of the family's 1533-position model. Lineage: Bacteria; Bacillati; Bacillota; Clostridia; Eubacteriales; Clostridiaceae. The record is from RNAcentral.